Molecule: ribosomal RNA, 246 nt
Filed under: uncultured Lactobacillus sp.
Lineage: Bacteria; Bacillati; Bacillota; Bacilli; Lactobacillales; Lactobacillaceae
Description: partial 16S ribosomal RNA
Rfam family: Bacterial small subunit ribosomal RNA
Source: RNAcentral
CACGUGGGUAACCUGCCCAAGAGAUCGGGAUAACACCUGGAAACAGAUGCUAAUACCGGAUAACAACAGAUGAUGCCUAUCAACUGUUUAAAAUAUGGUUCUGCUAUCACUCUUGGAUGGACCUGCGGUGCAUUAGCUAGUUGGUAGGGUAACGGCCUACCAAGGCGAUGAUGCAUAGCCGAGUUGAGAGACUGAUCGGCCACAUUGGGACUGAGACACGGCCCAAACUCCUACGGGAGGCAGGAU